Molecule: ribosomal RNA, 392 nt
Filed under: uncultured bacterium
Lineage: Bacteria
Description: partial 16S ribosomal RNA
Rfam family: Bacterial small subunit ribosomal RNA
Source: RNAcentral
AUACGGAGGAUCCGAGCGUUAUCCGGAUUUAUUGGGUUUAAAGGGUGCGUAGGCGGCCAUUUAAGUCAGCGGUUAAAUCGUGGGGCUCAACCCCAUUCUGCCGUUGAUACUGGGUGGCUUGAUUGCGGUCGAGGUUGGCGGAAUUCGUUGUGUAGCGGUGAAAUGCAUAGAUAUGACGAAGAACACCGAUUGCGUAGGCAGCUGACCAGACCGCAAAUGACGCUCAUGCACGAAAGUGCGGGGAUCGAACAGGAUUAGAUACCCUGGUAGUCCGCACAGUAAACGAUGAAUACUUGUUUUCGGCGAUAUAAUGUCGGAGGCAAAGCGAAAGCGAUAAGUAUUCCACCUGGGGAGUACGCCGGCAACGGUGAAACUCAAAUGAAUUGGCGGGG